AUUGAACGCUGGCGGCAGGCCUAACACAUGCAAGUCGAGCGGAUGAAGGGAGCUUGCUCCUGGAUUCAGCGGCGGACGGGUGAGUAAUGCCUAGGAAUCUGCGUGGUAGUGGGGGAUAACGUCCGGAAACGGGCGCUAAUACCGCAUACGUCCUGAGGGAGAAAGUGGGGGAUCUUCGGACCUCACGCUAUCAGAUGAGCCUAGGUCGGAUUAGCUAGUUGGUGGGGUAAAGGCCUACCAAGGCGACGAUCCGUAACUGGUCUGAGAGGAUGAUCAGUCACACUGGAACUGAGACACGGUCCAGACUCCUACGGGAGGCAGCAGUGGGGAAUAUUGGACAAUGGGCGAAAGCCUGAUCCAGCCAUGCCGCGUGUGUGAAGAAGGUCUUCGGAUUGUAAAGCACUUUAAGUUGGGAGGAAGGGCAGUAAGUUAAUACCUUGCUGUUUUGACGUUACCAACAGAAUAAGCACCGGCUAGCUUCGUG
Molecule: ribosomal RNA, 484 nt
Filed under: uncultured bacterium
Lineage: Bacteria
Description: partial 16S ribosomal RNA
Rfam family: Bacterial small subunit ribosomal RNA
Source: RNAcentral